This 588-nucleotide ribosomal RNA is filed under the name Massilia oculi. RNAcentral describes it as "bacterial SSU rRNA". It matches the Rfam family "Bacterial small subunit ribosomal RNA", at positions 20 to 604 of the family's 1533-position model. Lineage: Bacteria; Pseudomonadati; Pseudomonadota; Betaproteobacteria; Burkholderiales; Oxalobacteraceae. The record is from RNAcentral.
UGGCUCAGAUUGAACGCUGGCGGCAUGCUUUACACAUGCAAGUCGAACGGUAACAGGGAGCUUGCUCCGCUGACGAGUGGCGAACGGGUGAGUAAUAUAUCGGAACGUACCCAGAAGUGGGGGAUAACGUAGCGAAAGUUACGCUAAUACCGCAUACGAUCCACGGAUGAAAGUAGGGGACCUUCGGGCCUUAUGCUUUUGGAGCGGCCGAUAUCUGAUUAGCUAGUUGGGAGGUAAAGGCUCACCAAGGCGACGAUCAGUAGCUGGUCUGAGAGGACGACCAGCCACACUGGAACUGAGACACGGUCCAGACUCCUACGGGAGGCAGCAGUGGGGAAUUUUGGACAAUGGGCGCAAGCCUGAUCCAGCAAUGCCGCGUGAGUGAAGAAGGCCUUCGGGUUGUAAAGCUCUUUUGUCAGGGAAGAAACGGCUGUGGCUAAUAUCCACGGCUAAUGACGGUACCUGAAGAAUAAGCACCGGCUAACUACGUGCCAGCAGCCGCGGUAAUACGUAGGGUGCAAGCGUUAAUCGGAAUUACUGGGCGUAAAGCGUGCGCAGGCGGUUUUGUAAGUCUGACGUGAAAUCCCC